RNAcentral lists this ribosomal RNA (253 nucleotides) under uncultured bacterium. Its description in RNAcentral is "partial 16S ribosomal RNA". It matches the Rfam family "Bacterial small subunit ribosomal RNA", at positions 524 to 776 of the family's 1533-position model. The record is from RNAcentral.
UACGGGGGGGGCAAGCGUUGUUCGGAAUUACUGGGCGUAAAGGGCUCGUAGGCGGCCAACUAAGUCGGAUGUGAAAUCCCCAAGCUUAACUUGGGAACUGCAUCCGAUACUGGAUGGCUUGAAUCCGGGAGAGGGAUGCAGAAUUCCAGGUGUAGCGGUGAAAUGCGUAGAUAUCGGAAGGAACACCAAUGGCGAAGGCAGCCGCCUGGGCCUGAUCUGACACUGAGACACGAAAGCGUGGGGAUCAAACAGG